Molecule: ribosomal RNA, 251 nt
Filed under: uncultured bacterium
Lineage: Bacteria
Description: partial 16S ribosomal RNA
Rfam family: Bacterial small subunit ribosomal RNA
Source: RNAcentral
GGUGAGUAACGCGUGAGUAACCUGCCUUCAAGAGGGGGAUAACAUUCUGAAAAGAAUGCUGAUACCGCAUGACAUAUCGGAACCACAUGGUUUUGAUAUCAAAGAUUUUAUCGCUUGAAGAUGGACUCGCGUCCGAUUAGUUAGUUGGUGAGGUAACGGCUCACCAAGACCGCGAUCGGUAGCCGGACUGAGAGGUUGAACGGCCACAUUGGGACUGAGACACGGCCCAGACUCCUACGGGAGGCAGCAUG